AAAUCAACCGAGAUUCCCCCAGUAGCGGCGAGCGAACGGGGAGCAGCCCAGAGCCUGAAUCAGUAUGUGUGUUAGUGGAAGCGUCUGGAAAGGCGCGCGAUACAGGGUGACAGCCCCGUACACAAAAAUGCACAUGCUGUGAGCUCGAUGAGUAGGGCGGGACACGUGGUAUCCUGUCUGAAUAUGGGGGGACCAUCCUCCAAGGCUAAAUACUCCUGACUGACCGAUAGUGAACCAGUACCGUGAGGGAAAGGCGAAAAGAACCCCGGCGAGGGGAGUGAAAAAGAACCUGAAACCGUGUACGUACAAGCAGUGGGAGCACGCUUAGGCGUGUGACUGCGUACCUUUUGUAUAAUGGGUCAGCGACUUAUAUUCUGUAGCAAGGUUAACCGAAUAGGGGAGCCGAAGGGAAACCGAGUCUUAACUGGGCGUUAAGUUGCAGGGUAUAGACCCGAAACCCGGUGAUCUAGCCAUGGGCAGGUUGAAGGUUGGGUAACACUAACUGGAGGACCGAACCGACUAAUGUUGAAAAAUUAGCGGAUGACUUGUGGCUGGGGGUGAAAGGCCAAUCAAACCGGGAGAUAGCUGGUUCUCCCCGAAAGCUAUUUAGGUAGCGCCUCGUGAAUUCAUCUCCGGGGGUAGAGCACUGUUUCGGCAAGGGGGUCAUCCCGACUUACCAACCCGAUGCAAACUGCGAAUACCGGAGAAUGUUAUCACGGGAGACACACGGCGGGUGCUAACGUCCGUCGUGAAGAGGGAAACAACCCAGACCGCCAGCUAAGGUCCCAAAGUCAUGGUUAAGUGGGAAACGAUGUGGGAAGGCCCAGACAGCCAGGAUGUUGGCUUAGAAGCAGCCAUCAUUUAAAGAAAGCGUAAUAGCUCACUGGUCGAGUCGGCCUGCGCGGAAGAUGUAACGGGGCUAAACCAUGCAC
RNAcentral lists this ribosomal RNA (932 nucleotides) under Escherichia coli. RNAcentral describes it as "partial 23S ribosomal RNA". It matches the Rfam family "Bacterial large subunit ribosomal RNA", at positions 222 to 1194 of the family's 2925-position model. Lineage: Bacteria; Pseudomonadati; Pseudomonadota; Gammaproteobacteria; Enterobacterales; Enterobacteriaceae. The record is from RNAcentral.